Molecule: ribosomal RNA, 1512 nt
Filed under: Lactiplantibacillus pentosus
Lineage: Bacteria; Bacillati; Bacillota; Bacilli; Lactobacillales; Lactobacillaceae
Description: bacterial SSU rRNA
Rfam family: Bacterial small subunit ribosomal RNA
Source: RNAcentral
GACGAACGCUGGCGGCGUGCCUAAUACAUGCAAGUCGAACGAACUCUGGUAUUGAUUGGUGCUUGCAUCAUGAUUUACAUUUGAGUGAGUGGCGAACUGGUGAGUAACACGUGGGAAACCUGCCCAGAAGCGGGGGAUAACACCUGGAAACAGAUGCUAAUACCGCAUAACAACUUGGACCGCAUGGUCCGAGUUUGAAAGAUGGCUUCGGCUAUCACUUUUGGAUGGUCCCGCGGCGUAUUAGCUAGAUGGUGGGGUAACGGCUCACCAUGGCAAUGAUACGUAGCCGACCUGAGAGGGUAAUCGGCCACAUUGGGACUGAGACACGGCCCAAACUCCUACGGGAGGCAGCAGUAGGGAAUCUUCCACAAUGGACGAAAGUCUGAUGGAGCAACGCCGCGUGAGUGAAGAAGGGUUUCGGCUCGUAAAACUCUGUUGUUAAAGAAGAACAUAUCUGAGAGUAACUGUUCAGGUAUUGACGGUAUUUAACCAGAAAGCCACGGCUAACUACGUGCCAGCAGCCGCGGUAAUACGUAGGUGGCAAGCGUUGUCCGGAUUUAUUGGGCGUAAAGCGAGCGCAGGCGGUUUUUUAAGUCUGAUGUGAAAGCCUUCGGCUCAACCGAAGAAGUGCAUCGGAAACUGGGAAACUUGAGUGCAGAAGAGGACAGUGGAACUCCAUGUGUAGCGGUGAAAUGCGUAGAUAUAUGGAAGAACACCAGUGGCGAAGGCGGCUGUCUGGUCUGUAACUGACGCUGAGGCUCGAAAGUAUGGGUAGCAAACAGGAUUAGAUACCCUGGUAGUCCAUACCGUAAACGAUGAAUGCUAAGUGUUGGAGGGUUUCCGCCCUUCAGUGCUGCAGCUAACGCAUUAAGCAUUCCGCCUGGGGAGUACGGCCGCAAGGCUGAAACUCAAAGGAAUUGACGGGGGCCCGCACAAGCGGUGGAGCAUGUGGUUUAAUUCGAAGCUACGCGAAGAACCUUACCAGGUCUUGACAUACUAUGCAAAUCUAAGAGAUUAGACGUUCCCUUCGGGGACAUGGAUACAGGUGGUGCAUGGUUGUCGUCAGCUCGUGUCGUGAGAUGUUGGGUUAAGUCCCGCAACGAGCGCAACCCUUAUUAUCAGUUGCCAGCAUUAAGUUGGGCACUCUGGUGAGACUGCCGGUGACAAACCGGAGGAAGGUGGGGAUGACGUCAAAUCAUCAUGCCCCUUAUGACCUGGGCUACACACGUGCUACAAUGGAUGGUACAACGAGUUGCGAACUCGCGAGAGUAAGCUAAUCUCUUAAAGCCAUUCUCAGUUCGGAUUGUAGGCUGCAACUCGCCUACAUGAAGUCGGAAUCGCUAGUAAUCGCGGAUCAGCAUGCCGCGGUGAAUACGUUCCCGGGCCUUGUACACACCGCCCGUCACACCAUGAGAGUUUGUAACACCCAAGGUCGGUGGGGUAACCUUUUAGGAACCAGCCGCCUAAGGUGGGACAGAUGAUUAGGGUGAAGUCGUAACAAGGUAGCCGUAG